This 440-nucleotide ribosomal RNA is filed under the name uncultured bacterium. RNAcentral's name for it is "partial 16S ribosomal RNA". It matches the Rfam family "Bacterial small subunit ribosomal RNA", at positions 338 to 795 of the family's 1533-position model. The record is from RNAcentral.
CCUACGAGCGGCAGCAGUGGGGAAUAUUGCACAAUGGGGGAAACCCUGAUGCAGCGACGCCGCGUGAGUGAAGCAGUAUUUCGGUGUGUACAGCUCUAUCCGCAGGGAAGAAACUGACGGUACCUGAGUAAGAAGCACCGGCUAACUACGGGCCAGCAGCCGAGGUAAUACGUAGGGGGUAAGCGUUAUCCGGAUUUAAUGGGUGUAAAGGGAGCGUAGACGGCAGUACAAGUCUGGAGUGAAAUGCCGGGGCUUAACCCCGGAACUGCUUUGGAAACUGUGCAGCUAGAGUGCAGGAGAGGUAAGUGGAAUUCCUAGUGUAGCGGUGAAAUGCGUAGAUAGUAGGAGGAACACCAGUGGCGAAGGCGGCUUACUGGACUGUAACUGACGUUGAGGCUCGAAAGCGUGGGGAGCAAACAGGAUUAGAUACCCCUGUAGUC